This 933-nucleotide non-coding RNA is filed under the name Pan troglodytes (chimpanzee). Lineage: Eukaryota; Metazoa; Chordata; Mammalia; Primates; Hominidae. The record is from RNAcentral.
CUGAAAUGGGAAAGGCAGCGCCCCCGACUCUGGGGACUGGACCGAACUCCACGGUAGUGACAGCUGCCAGACCCUGAGGAGAGGACGAGAAGACCUGAGGCCUCUGCUACGAACACUGGCAGCCGAUGGAAAAUUCAGACGGAUUUGGGACAGUAUGCAGAGUUCUCCAAGCGACAGAUUAACAGAGGCUCUUGAAGGAUAACUGUGUAAUCACGUGUUCUGCUCAAAAGAAGGCCUGAAUGCCCAGUGCCUUAUUUGGCUUUCAGGGGUCUUGCUGUGUCACCCAGGCUGGAGUACAGUGGUGCAGUCAUAGCUCACUGCUGCCUCAAACUCCUAGACUCAGGCAAUCCUCCUGCUUCAGCCUCCCGAGUAGCUGGGACUACAGGUAGAUGAUGGGCUCCAUGGGAACAGAGCAAACGUUCGCUCCUGCCUCCUACACGGUGUUUCCUCUAAACCUGAGGCUCAGCAGACUUGUCAUCACUUAAAACCCAAUUCAGAGCGGGGGGCACUGCCAGUGAAUAGUUCAUCACCGACUCAGUUUCCCCAUGUGUAUGCUGUGGUAUUGGAUCAGCAACGAGAUAAGAAGAUCUCUCCCAUUUCCAAGCGUCUAUGAUGAUUCUGAGGCACAAGGUCACAUUUGACAGUACUAGGAAACCCAGGAAACAACAAGCAAAGAUGACAAAGGAUGUGUCUGCCUGGGCAGACGAUCUAUUUGGACAAGAUAAUAGACCCAGGCAUGGACAUGCUCUCCAAGAAAGAUGCCCUGACAGCUGCUCACACUGAAGCUGAAUCGAACAUUCCAAUCCUUAGAGCUUCCAGCGAAGAUCUUGAAGUCUCCCUGAGCCACUGACACAAUGGCCAUGCCAUCCCAGUGAUAAAACACAAAUUGUGGCCUUGUUUUGGACAGAAAUAAAGAGCCCAGUUUGUUAGUGA